Molecule: transfer RNA, 125 nt
Filed under: Akkermansia massiliensis
Lineage: Bacteria; Pseudomonadati; Verrucomicrobiota; Verrucomicrobiia; Verrucomicrobiales; Akkermansiaceae
Description: tRNA-Pro
Source: RNAcentral
CAAGCGGAAAAUAAAGGGUAUGAAAGGGGUACAAGAACACAACCAUUGACUAUCAAUAGCCAAAAACUGAAUUCUCUUCGUUCGGGACGAAGAGGUCGCAGGUUCAAAUCCUGUCAGCUCGACCA